UGUCGUCAGCUCGUGUCGUGAGAUGUUGGGUUAAGUCCCGUAACGAGCGCAACCCUUGUCCUUAGUUACCAGCACGUAAUGGUGGGCACUCUAAGGAGACUGCCGGUGACAAACCGGAGGAAGGUGGGGAUGACGUCAAGUCAUCAUGGCCCUUACGGCCUGGGCUACACACGUGCUACAAUGGUCGGUACAGAGGGUUGCCAAGCCGCGAGGUGGAGCUAAUCCCACAAAACCGAUCGUAGUCCGGAUCGCAGUCUGCAACUCGACUGCGUGAAGUCGGAAUCGCUAGUAAUCGCGAAUCAGAAUGUCGCGGUGAAUACGUUCCCGGGCCUUGUACACACCGCCCGUCACACCAUGGGAGUGGGUUGCACCAGAAGUAGCUAGUCUAACCUUCGGGAGGACGGUUACCACGGUGUGAUUCAUGACUGGGGUGAAGUCGUAACAAGGUAGCCGUAGGGGAACCUGCGGCUGGAUCACCUCCUUAA
Molecule: ribosomal RNA, 485 nt
Filed under: Pseudomonas koreensis
Lineage: Bacteria; Pseudomonadati; Pseudomonadota; Gammaproteobacteria; Pseudomonadales; Pseudomonadaceae
Description: bacterial SSU rRNA
Rfam family: Bacterial small subunit ribosomal RNA
Source: RNAcentral